GACUCGAUGGCCUAGUGGUACGGUACUCGCUCUGGGUGCGAGAAGUCCCUGGCUCGAAUCCCAGUUGGGUCA
Molecule: transfer RNA, 72 nt
Filed under: Schistosoma mansoni
Lineage: Eukaryota; Metazoa; Platyhelminthes; Trematoda; Strigeidida; Schistosomatidae
Rfam family: tRNA
About the family: Transfer RNA (tRNA) molecules are approximately 80 nucleotides in length. Their secondary structure includes four short double-helical elements and three loops (D, anti-codon, and T loops). Further hydrogen bonds mediate the characteristic L-shaped molecular structure. tRNAs have two regions of fundamental functional importance: the anti-codon, which is responsible for specific mRNA codon recognition, and the 3' end, to which the tRNAs corresponding amino acid is attached (by aminoacyl-tRNA synthetases). tRNAs cope with the degeneracy of the genetic code in two manners: having more than one tRNA (with a specific anti-codon) for a particular amino acid; and 'wobble' base-pairing, i.e. permitting non-standard base-pairing at the 3rd anti-codon position.
Source: Rfam by way of RNAcentral